GAUGAACGCUGGCGGCGUGCCUAAUACAUGCAAGUCGAGCGAACGGACGAGAAGCUUGCUUCUCUGAUGUUAGCGGCGGACGGGUGAGUAACACGUGGAUAACCUACCUAUAAGACUGGGAUAAUUUCGGGAAACCGGAGCUAAUACCGGAUAAUAUUUUGAACCGCAUGGUUCAAAAGUGAAAGACGGUCUUGCUGUCACUUAUAGAUGGAUCCGCGCUGCAUUAGCUAGUUGGUAAGGUAACGGCUUACCAAGGCAACGAUGCAUAGCCGACCUGAGAGGGUGAUCGGCCACACUGGAACUGAGACACGGUCCAGACUCCUACGGGAGGCAGCAGUAGGGAAUCUUCCGCAAUGGGCGAAAGCCUGACGGAGCAACGCCGCGUGAGUGAUGAAGGUCUUCGGAUCGUAAAACUCUGUUAUUAGGGAAGAACAUAUGUGUAAGUAGCUGUGCACAUCUUGACGGUACCUAAUCAGAAAGCCACGGCUAACUACGUG
This 497-nucleotide ribosomal RNA is filed under the name uncultured bacterium. Its description in RNAcentral is "partial 16S ribosomal RNA". It matches the Rfam family "Bacterial small subunit ribosomal RNA", at positions 28 to 507 of the family's 1533-position model. The record is from RNAcentral.